This 24-nucleotide non-coding RNA is filed under the name Arabidopsis thaliana (thale cress). Lineage: Eukaryota; Viridiplantae; Streptophyta; Magnoliopsida; Brassicales; Brassicaceae. The record is from RNAcentral.
ACCUUAAAAGGUACUACCAUUGGG